This is a long non-coding RNA of Peromyscus leucopus (white-footed mouse), 540 nucleotides long. RefSeq lists it as uncharacterized. The record is from RefSeq and is a predicted model, not a curated record. NCBI's taxonomy places the organism in Eukaryota, Metazoa, Chordata, Mammalia, Rodentia, Cricetidae. The transcript has 3 exons.
CCUAGAGUUAAAAAUUAUCUGGAUUCUUCAGCUUUAAGGCACAAAGACUACACAGGGAGCAGCUUCUAUGUGGCAUGCUGUGAUGGAGGUGCUUCAAGAACUGUGAUCCACAGGACACUUUUUCUCUGACAACAAUGAUUUUUCCCAUCAUCUGCUUCCUUCUCUGAGACCAUGGCAAGAUUUGAUUCAUGAAAGAAGGCUCAGUGGCUUAUAUGGCAGAAAAGAGCAGAGAACGGGAAGAAAAUCUAAAUAACCACAAGUACCAGGACUACAUAAAUGAAAGAUGAAGUACGUGUAAUGGAAAAAUGACACAGCAGCGAAAAGAAUGAACUGGAGCGCUCUACAGUAGCAGAGAUAGGUCUAAAUAAAUGGUUAACAAACAAACAAACAAACAAAAAACCAGCAACAGUUGGCCAUUGGCAUGUUUUCAGCCUUAUGGUUUCUUCUUUUCUAAAAUAUUAUGAGUCAAAUUAUACAAUAUGUGGCUUUUUAAGUCUGGCAUCUUCCACUUAGUUGAACACAUUUUCACAUCCAUCCAUU